CCUGGGGUUCCCGAGCGGCCAAAGGGAGCAGACUGUAAAUCUGCCGUCAUCGACUUCGAAGGUUCGAAUCCUUCCCCCACCACCA
Molecule: transfer RNA, 85 nt
Filed under: Klebsiella pneumoniae
Lineage: Bacteria; Pseudomonadati; Pseudomonadota; Gammaproteobacteria; Enterobacterales; Enterobacteriaceae
Description: tRNA-Tyr
Rfam family: tRNA
About the family: Transfer RNA (tRNA) molecules are approximately 80 nucleotides in length. Their secondary structure includes four short double-helical elements and three loops (D, anti-codon, and T loops).
Source: RNAcentral